AACAACUCAAUUGUUGACCAUUGAUUUUAUUUGUUUGAAGAACAUUCUAAAUAACCAAUUAGCAUGGUGGCAGGUGCUUGAAUCACGUAGAUCUCUCUUCUUUCUUGCAUGAGGACUUUACUGAUGGUUCGACACUACUAAACAAAGAAUUGUCAAGCAUAUAAACUAGACAUGCAUCGAAAAUGAAUCUAAAUGGUUAUCAUG
Molecule: long non-coding RNA, 204 nt
Filed under: Elaeis guineensis (African oil palm)
Lineage: Eukaryota; Viridiplantae; Streptophyta; Magnoliopsida; Arecales; Arecaceae
Description: long non-coding RNA (EGUI_LNC056491)
Source: RNAcentral